This 329-nucleotide ribosomal RNA is filed under the name uncultured eukaryote. RNAcentral's name for it is "partial 18S ribosomal RNA". It matches the Rfam family "Eukaryotic small subunit ribosomal RNA", at positions 1470 to 1796 of the family's 1831-position model. The record is from RNAcentral.
CCCUUAGAUGUCCUGGGCCGCACGCGCGCUACACUGAGUGUCUGAGAUACGAGUCUGCCUGGUCCGGCAAGGUCUAGGUAAUCGCUAAAAGACACAUCAUGCUUGGGAUAGAUUAUUGCAAAUAUUAAUCUUGAACGAGGAAUUCCUAGUAAGCGCAAGUCAACAGCUUGCGUUGAUUACGUCCCUGCCCUUUGUACACACCGCCCGUCGCUACUACUGAUUGGAUGUUUAAGCGAGGUUCUCGAACUGAUAGCGACUUAGCUUCGGUGAGGUCGCAGUGUGGGAAGUGAACCUAGCUUUGGUGUCUAGAGGAAGUAAAAGUCGUAACA